GGAGCAGCGAGGGGAGCGGGGCGCCCCCAGCCACACUGCUGGUACAGGAACGCACAAUUUCAGCACUUGGGAAGUAUGAUAUGGAUCAAUGAAAAUGUCCUCGGAGCUUAUGAUAACAGCCUUGCUCAGCAUCUUCUCUCUUGAAAGAAGCCCGAGGGACAGAAAGACUCGCGUUUGUGCAAGAAGAAGGAUUUUCCAAAAGGGCUGUUCCCCUCCCUGGGAGAAAAAAAAAAAAAAAAUGCCUUUAGAGGAGCCUCCAGGGGCCCAGCAAGAGCUGCUCAUGCCUGGACGUGGAAAUCCCUAUUUUAUGAGGUAGAUUGGGAGGGAACAAUCUCACUCCGGAGCUUCCCAUCAAGACCAAUUUGCAUAAUUAACACCAAAAUUAGUCUUUGCUCUGUCAUAACCAUUAAGACGGCUCACAAAGAGCCUGGCAAGGGCAGGGCUUUGUGCGGUGCCAGCCGGGCCCACAGGUCUGGGGCUGUGGGACGGAUCCGGGUCCCCAGCGCAGAGCCACCGAAGGCACAGCCAGCCCCAAGCCUGGCCAGAGCCUCAGCAGCGCUGAGCGCAGCGAUAAUAGCAGUUAGACUUGAUUCUGCUUGGAAAAUCCACUUUAAUCAGCCCUUCUUGGCUUAGCGUUGUAAUCUGAGCAGUGCCGGGGCGCAAAGCUGCUGCUUCUCCACCACCAAGUCCUGCUGGUUUUUCAGCUGGGCUCCGUUUUAAAAGGGCCUCCCACCCGCAGCGAUUGUGCUCGGAGACGAGUAAUUACGAAAAGGGACUUUGGUGCCAAAGCAC
Long non-coding RNA from Oxyura jamaicensis (ruddy duck), 792 nucleotides. RefSeq lists it as uncharacterized. The transcript is spliced from 2 exons. The record is from RefSeq and is a predicted model, not a curated record. NCBI's taxonomy places the organism in Eukaryota, Metazoa, Chordata, Aves, Anseriformes, Anatidae.